This is a non-coding RNA of Paramuricea clavata, 555 nucleotides long. NCBI's taxonomy places the organism in Eukaryota, Metazoa, Cnidaria, Anthozoa, Malacalcyonacea, Plexauridae. The record is from the annotation of a GenBank genome assembly.
CUUUAUUUUUUUUUUGGAGUUGAUUGUUUUAUUCUAAGUAGGGAGGAGAUGUAGUGUACCUUGCAUGAACAUGCUUACAUGAACACGCUUACAUGAAGUAAUUAUAAGACUGAGUGAUCGCUAAGGACAAUGGGACAUUCGCGCUCAAAAAGAAUAGCAUGUGUUUAGAUUUGUGAAAAGAAUUGUUAAUAAAAAACGUUUGAAAACUCAAUAAUACUACACUUUUUAAAAGCUUUUUGUUGAGAACCACCCCUUCUAGUGCUACGUAUGCUGUAGACUCAUCCUCUAACCAUUUUGUCUUCUUUCCUUUCUUCUAGAGAGACGCCCAUGUCCAAAAUUUCAAAAACGCUUGCCAUUCUCCCAGCUGUGUUUGUUAAGCACAUGAUUCAAGAUGGAGACCCAUUUCUCACGUAAACAUACUUCAGCAUCACUACCACAAGUCUAUGAACACCAGCACAAACAUUUCUCUUUGUCUUAGCUUUCUCCAAAUUUUUUUUUAUCCACUUCCACAGAUACCACACAUCCUACGGAUGGAUUAUUGAAGGAAUUUUUUAU